UACGUAGGGUGCGAGCGUUAAUCGGAAUUACUGGGCGUAAAGCGUGCGCAGGCGGUUUUGUAAGCCAGAUGUGAAAGCCCCGGGCUCAACCUGGGAAUGGCAUUUGGGACUGCAAGGCUUGAGUGCGGCAGAGGAGACUGGAAUUCCUGGUGUAGCAGUGAAAUGCGUAGAUAUCAGGAGGAAUACCGAUGGCGAAGGCAGGUCUCUGGGCUGACACUGACGCUCAUGCACGAAAGCGUGGGGAGCAAAAGGG
RNAcentral lists this ribosomal RNA (253 nucleotides) under uncultured bacterium. Its description in RNAcentral is "partial 16S ribosomal RNA". It matches the Rfam family "Bacterial small subunit ribosomal RNA", at positions 524 to 776 of the family's 1533-position model. The record is from RNAcentral.